Molecule: ribosomal RNA, 603 nt
Filed under: Triticum aestivum (bread wheat)
Lineage: Eukaryota; Viridiplantae; Streptophyta; Magnoliopsida; Poales; Poaceae
Description: partial small subunit ribosomal RNA
Source: RNAcentral
GUCGCUCCCCUGCCCCGUCGCCGGCCCUCCCCUGCCCCGUCGCCAGCCCUCCCCCGCCACCCUGUCGCCGGCCCCGUCGCUCCCUGCUGCAGGCGACGCCGCCGCCGCAAGUCGGGAGCCCUGUAUCUCGUGUCGGGCCUUGGCGGGAAGAUCGACAAGGAACAAGUCAAAUUGGCGGGAAGCUCGGGAUGUUUUCCGCAAACGCCGGCAACACGCGCAGUAACUGCAGUGCGCGGGGCGGUUACGGGGCUAUCUCCUACCUCCCGUUUGUGGAUCCUCCAGUGUUGAGCUCAACCAAGCGGCGGCCAUACAUCCGGCGACCGGCCAUAGGCGCGACUUGGAGCUCGGGCGACAUGGAGUCUUUUGACGCAGCUGAUUAAUAGAAGUAGAACUCUGCUAGAGGACGUUCGCCGGGAUGGAGCCUCUUCAUUAACCGGUGACGACGCCGCCGGUGUGCGAGUUGCCGACCAGGACAGCAUCAAGUGCAGACGGGCAGGUCUGCACAGAGGGCGUUGGUCGAGAAGCAGGAAGUGCAGACAAGGGCCAAGCUUCAGAGCAGUCGAUUGAGCAGGUGGAUCCGAAAACACCUGGGUGGACGCAAAG